Anguilla rostrata (American eel) is the source of this 241-nucleotide long non-coding RNA. RefSeq lists it as uncharacterized. The record is from RefSeq and is a predicted model, not a curated record. The transcript is spliced from 3 exons. Lineage: Eukaryota; Metazoa; Chordata; Actinopteri; Anguilliformes; Anguillidae.
UUGGUGGGUUGGCGGGUUGGGUGAGUUAGUUGGCGGGUUGGGUGCAUUAGGUGGCGGGUUUGGAGAGUUAGUUGGCAGGUUGGGUGCGUUAUUUGCCGUAGAGCAGAUUGGCGGUAUGGCGGAGGUUUGGCGGGUUGUUGGUUGGCGGGUUGGGUGCGUUAGUUGGCGGGUUGGCGGGUUGGGUGCGUUAGUGGGCGGGUUGGGUGCGUUAGUUGGCGGGUUGGCGGGUUGGGUGCGUUAG